Molecule: ribosomal RNA, 497 nt
Filed under: uncultured bacterium
Lineage: Bacteria
Description: bacterial SSU rRNA
Rfam family: Bacterial small subunit ribosomal RNA
Source: RNAcentral
GACGAACGCUGGCGGCGUGGAUUAGGCAUGCAAGUCGAACGGUAGGAUACCUUCGGGUAUCUGAGAGUGGCGAACGGGUGAGUAACACGUAGGUGAUCUACCCUCAAGAUUGGGACAACCCAGGGAAACUUGGGCUAAUACCGGAUGAAAGCAGCAGUGAUGUUGUUUGAAAGGUGGCGUAAGCUGCCGUUUGGGGAUGAGCCUGCGCUCUAUUAGUUAGUUGGCGGGGUAAAGGCCCACCAAGGCGAUGAUAGAUAGGCGGCCUUAACGGGUGGUCGCCCACACUGGGAUUGAGAUACGGCCCAGACUCCUACGGGAGGCAGCAGUCGAGAAUAGUCUACAAUGGCCGAAAGGCUGAUAGUGCGACGCCGCGUGAACGAAGAAGCCCUUCGGGUGUAAAGUUCUUUUAUAUGUGAGCAGUGCUUUCUAUGUGAACAGCAUGGGGAGAGAGAUAUUAGCGUAUGAAUAAGCAACGGCUAACUCCGUGCCAGCAGCCG